Cebus imitator (Panamanian white-faced capuchin) is the source of this 315-nucleotide unclassified non-coding RNA. Its record names the gene 7SK. It matches the Rfam family "7SK RNA". Rfam says of the family: 7SK was discovered as an abundant small nuclear RNA in the mid-70s but a possible function has only recently been suggested. Two independent studies have found that 7SK RNA binds the CDK9/cyclin T complex (known as elongation factor P-TEFb). Lineage: Eukaryota; Metazoa; Chordata; Mammalia; Primates; Cebidae. The record is from Ensembl.
GGAUGUGAGAGCGAUCCGGCUGCAAAUCUGUCACCCCAUCGAUCAUCAGGGUUGAUUCGGCUGAUAUGGUGGCCGGGCAGGUGUCUCCUUCCUUCCUCACCGCCCCACGUGUGUCCCUCCUGAAGCUGCGUGCUGGGUCGCAGAGACAACCACCCCUGACAGAGGAGGACCGGUCUUCAGUCAAGGGUACACGAGUGGCUGCGCUCCCCUGUAGAACCUCCAAACAAGCUCUCAGGGCAAGGGCUCAGAGGAGAAAUUUCUGGUUCUAUCCAUGGCAGAGUAGCUGAUACUGGACAUAUCUGUCUGUCAGAAAUA